CAGAGACUGCAAGCGUUAUUCGGAUUCACUGGGCGUAAAGGGUGCGCAGGCGGCCGGGUGUGUGAGGCGUGAAAGCCCGAUGCUUAACAUCGGAAUUGCACCUCAAACUACACGGCUAGAGCAUUGGAGAGGGUAGCAGAAUUCAUGGUGUAGCAGUGAAAUGCGUAGAUAUCAUGAGGAAUACCAGAGGCGAAGGCGGCUACCUGGACAAUUGCUGACGCUCAGGCACGAAAGCGUGGGGAGCAAAAGGGAUUAGAUACCCCUGUAGUCCACGCCCUAAACGGUGCACACUAGGUCUUGGCGGAUUCGACCCCCCCAGGGCCCAAGCUAACGCGUUAAGUGUGCCGCCUGAGGACUACGGCCGCAAGGCUA
RNAcentral lists this ribosomal RNA (372 nucleotides) under uncultured organism. RNAcentral's name for it is "bacterial SSU rRNA". It matches the Rfam family "Bacterial small subunit ribosomal RNA", at positions 526 to 896 of the family's 1533-position model. The record is from RNAcentral.